UGGGGAAUUUUGGACAAUGGGGGAAACCCUGAUCCAGCCAUCCCGCGUGUGCGAUGAAGGCCUUCGGGUUGUAAAGCACUUUUGGCAGGAAAGAAACGUCGCGGGUUAAUACCCCGCGAAACUGACGGUACCUGCAGAAUAAGCACCGGCUAACUACGUGCCGGCAGCCGCGGUAAUACGUAGGGUGCAAGCGUUAAUCGGAAUUACUGGGCGUAAAGCGUGCGCAGGCGGUUCGGAAAGAAAGAUGUGAAAUCCCAGAGCUUAACUUUGGAACUGCAUUUUUAACUACCGGGCUAGAGUGUGUCAGAGGGAGGUGGAAUUCCGCGUGUAGCAGUGAAAUGCGUAGAUAUGCGGAGGAACACCGAUGGCGAAGACAGCCUCCUGGGAUAACACUGACGCUCAUGCACGAAAGCGUGGGGAGCAAACAGGAUUAGAUACCCUGGUAGUCCACGCCCUAAACGAUGUCAACUAGCUGUUGGGGCCUUCGGGCCUUGGUAGCGCAGCUAACGCGUGAAGUUGACCGCCUGGGGAGUACGGUCGCAAGAUU
RNAcentral lists this ribosomal RNA (547 nucleotides) under uncultured bacterium. Its description in RNAcentral is "partial 16S ribosomal RNA". It matches the Rfam family "Bacterial small subunit ribosomal RNA", at positions 355 to 895 of the family's 1533-position model. The record is from RNAcentral.